UCGUCUUCUCCUCUCCUCUGUCCUGCAUACAAAAUCCGGGACUCCACUCAGGUAAAUAUCUUCUCUGUUUUUCAAGCUUUCUUUAGCCAAAUGAUGAGCAAGAGAGUUUGCCUAUCUUGAAAUGUGCCUCAAAAUAAUCUGUUGGAAGUUCUCUUUAUAUUGUUGAAAGUUUUUAGUAAUGGCUCCUAUCUCCGAUUUAUCCUCACUAUCUAGUUGGCUUUCUUUAUUGUUGUCAAUGAGUCCCCUUCGAUUAUCACACACUCUAUCCCCAUGCGAAUGCCUAGUCGCAGCGGUUGACACACGCCUGACCUUCAACAGCAAACGAAGAAGAGAUUGCUUUAUGGCCCACAGCCAUGGAAGCUAAUAUUUCCUCCAAUAGGUUCCUCACCAUCACCCCGACCCAAAUCUUGCAUGCUCACUGGUAGCAAUCCGAAAUACCCAGGUGACCCAAUCCCAGAAACUAUUAUCCAAAUUAUUCAGCAUCCAUGAGAUUAAGACUAACCCAAGUCUCCACUGAUAUAGGGUAAUCACGAAACACAUGGAUAGAAUCCUCCGUAGAACUGCAGCAUCGUGGGCACAAAGUAUUCUAUCUAACUCAUCACAUAAAGACUUAGGUAAUAGAAAACAUGCCAUUGAAUAAGUAGGGAUAGAUUGAAGAAUGACUUUGAUGAAUACCUUUUUACCCCUUGAGAUAAGACCCUAAUGCUCCAACUUUCAAUUCGCUUCUUGAAUUUAUCCUUAAAAAGUCGGAAAGAUUGCUUUUUAUUUCUCCCCACCAAAUUAGGCAAACCAAGGUAUUUUUCAGUAUUAUUCGAUACAUGCACCCCCAAAAUCCCUGAUGCAAGAUACCUAUCCUCGCUCAGAAGUAUUUAUACUGCAAACCACUAUUGAUUUAUCGAAAUUAACACAUUGGCCCUAACAACUUUCAUAUUCUCUUAAGAUAGUUUUCAAGGUAUGAGCCCCUUUAUUACUUGUUUCUCUAAAGAGGACACAGUCAUCUGCAAAAAGUAGAUGAGAAAUUUUUGGGCCGCUCUUACUAGUUUUAGCGCCUUUAAUUAGACCAUCUUGCAUCGCUACCUUCAUAAGGGCCGAAAGCCCUUCGCUGCAAAUCAGAAACAAGAAUAGGCUUAAGAGGUCCUCUUGUUUAUGUCCUCUAGUCGGCCUAAACACCUUGCCAGUAUUCCCAUUUAUUAUGACAAAAUACGAGACAAAGGAGACAUAUUUCUUCACUAAAGAAACCCAAGCCAAAUCAAAGCCCAUAUCGAUCAUCAUCUCUUUAAUAAUCUUCCAUUCAACCCUGUCGUAAGCCUUGCUUAUAUCAAGUUUCGCUGCCAUAUAACAUUUUUUCUGUACUCUCUUUUGUUGAAAGGUAUGCAUAAGUUCAUAGGCACUCAGAACAUUUUCCCGGAACAAAGGCACUUUGAGCUCCACCAAUGCAAUUAGAAAUUACUAAUUUAAAACGAUUUACUAUCAUUUUAGCUAUCACUUUAUAAAGCACAUUGCAUAAGCUGAUAGACCUAAAAUUCUUAAGAUCCGAUGGAUGUGGAACUUUUGGAAUCAAAACAAUAUUCGUGACAUUUAGAGACUCAAAAUACGUAUCUUCAUUAAGAACAUUAAAACAAAAGGUCGUAACAUUCCUUCCAACAAUGUGCCAACAUUUUUGAAAGAAUAAGGCUAGAAAGCCAUCCUCCCCCGAUGCUUUUGUAGAUCCCAUCUCCUUAAUCGCCAUCCAAACCUCUUCCUUAAUAUAUUUCGACGUGAGCUUCAAUUAUCCUCAACAUUAAUACAUUGCCUGAUCCCAGAAAGUAGAUGAUUUAGAUCCCCAACAUUCGUUUAAGGAAAACAACUUAUGAAAAAAACCCCGAGCCAGUUCCUCCUCCUCAAUUUCAUCACAAGUUCUACUUCUAUCCUCAUAUUCCAAGCAGCCAAUAUAAUUACCAUGCCUUUGUUGAGACACAUUUAUGAAAAAAAUCGGUAUUCUUAUUCCCUGAUUUUAACCAGUUCGCUCGAGCCCUCUGUUCCUAAUAGACUUCAUAUUUUUCAAUUUCAAGAUUUCGCCCAAUCUUUGUGUCGAUAAUUUUAGCAAGAUUCUCAUCAUCCAUCCCCGCUUUUGUAACACUCCUAAUCCGUAUUCGUCGCUGUAAAAGGGUUACGAGACAUUGCAGAACAUAACACGAUUCAAUACAAAUUUGGCUCAAUAACGGACGCAAGGUGAACUUUCUUCAAUCGAUUAAAAUAAAUAAAUAAAAAUUUAGAGAAAGUUUCAAACUUAACCUAAACAACAAUUUCAAUUAUAAACAAUCAUGUUAUGCUCUCAUAUUCCAUAUUCAAUUUAAUCAUGUAGCAAGCCAAAAACCAAUCAAGAAAGAAACAUAUCAAUUUAACCAAACUAACCAACAUUAAUAUCUUAGCAUUUGGAUAACUAUAAAGAAAAAAAAAUAUUAUGUCAUUCAAAACAACAAUUACAUUGAACCAAUUCAGAUAGUAAUAAAACAUAUAAUUAAGGUAUUUUAAUUUCUAAGGUCAAUUUGACAAGUCCAUCUUCAACUACUUAGAUCAGUCCGUAAUUUACAAUAGCAAAAAUCAUGAAAUUCAACUUACUAUUUAUCUUUGAUUUGUCUAAAUUUAUUGGACAGUAAAGUACGACAUUAACAUACAAUAUUUAAUCAAUAAUAGCAUGAAACGUAAUCAAUAUGUCUAGAUUUGUACAGCAUGAACACAUUAAUAAUACAACAUAGAUAAGAUACUUAAACAACAUAAAUGACAGCAUAUUAGAUUAAAUUCAGACACAAUUACUCAGCUUAGAUUUGGGUAAUUUGGACACAAUAAACUCCAACCAUCAUACACCAUUACUUGUAACAUUUAAACCUCAUAAACUCUUUAAAUUUUCACAUGUAAAUAUUUUAAAUGGCAUUUUCAAACAGCAACCUUUUUAUUUAUUUAGACAACAUUAUUUACAUUCAAUUAACUUAAUAAUGCAUCACAUAUUUGUAAUGACCCAAAAUUCACGGGCAUCGGAAAAGUAUAAUAUCGAGCUUCCGUCUUAGUAAAUUGAGUUCGAAAAUAAUUAUUAGAAGUAAUUAUGAAUUUAGUUUGGUGCUUAAAUAGUUAUUAAUUAGGUGAAUUUAGUCUAAUUAAGAUUAAUUAGUAAAAAUGAUUAAAUUAUAAUAGAAGUGAAAGUUUAAUUAUAGAUUAAAGGAAAAUAAUAGGGGUCAAAUGGGCAAUUAUGCCAAUUGCCAAAUUUGAGGCUGCAUAAGCAUAAAAAUCUAAGAUUUUUAUGCGUUAAAAUAUAUUAUUAAAUUAAUAUUAUUAUAUUGUGUAAUAAAUAAGAUUAAGACAAAUGUAUGGUUAUGAAUAUGACAUGUGUGUGGUAAAAGAUAUUUAAAUUAAUUAUUAUAUAUUAUAUUAUUAUAACAAAAAGUAAGAGAAAACAAAUGAAAUAAAAGAAUAGAAAAAUAGAAGAACAGAAAAGAAACAGAGAAAGAGACAAAAACAGGGGAAGAAAAAGGGAAAGAAAAGAAAGGGGGAAAAUUGAGAUUUUGAAGCUUGAAGUUUAAUAGGUAAGCUAAAUCAAGUCCUUUUCUCAUAAAUUUGAUGUUUUUGGAAUCCUAGAGUGAAAUACUCUUGGAUUUAAGUUGAAAAUUUGAAAGUUAAUAGGUUUUUUAGUAGGGUUUAUGUUGAAUGAAUGAUAGAAUUGAGGAUUUAUUUGAUAGAAAUUUUAUUUGGAAUUGAAUAAAGGAUUGAAUUGUAAACUAAACUAUAAAUUUUGAAUUAAUAUAUGAAUUCGAUGACCCUGGAUCAAUUAAAGCAUAAAUAGGCUCAGAGUGCAAUAAAAAUAUACCUGUCACAACAUCAUGGGCAUCACCUUCUUCUCUUGUCUAAACUACAUAGGCUCUGGCCGGUGCUCUUGCCUCUGACUGCUGCGUAACUAUGUCACUACUUCUCCGAACACCUUCACCUCUGGAUACAGAAUCACCUCUGUCUAAACCUCGAUACUGACCUCGAGCAGUAGAGGUUCAGGCAGAGGUGGUACUGUAUCUAGAGGUGGAUGUGUUCGGAGAAGUAGUGACAUAGUUACACAGCAGUCAGAGGCAAGAGCACCGGCUAGAGCCUAUGUAGUUCGGACAAGAGAAGAAGGUGAUGCCCAUGAUGUUGUGAUAGGUAUAUUUUUAUUGCACUCUGAGCCUAUUUAUGCUUUAAUUGAUCUAGGGUCAUCGCAUUCAUAUAUUAAUUCAAAACUUAUAGUUUAGGGUCUGUUUGAUUGCCAGUAAAAUAUUUUUCGUAAAAUGAUUUCUGAAAAAUGUUUUACUUUUCUGUAAAAUGAUUUACUGGAAAAUAUUUUCUGGUGUUUGAUUGAAUCUGUGUAAAAUAUUUUCUGCUGCUUGGCAGAUUUUUUGAAAAUGUUUUUCGGAAAAGUUGUUUUUACAUAUAUUAAUAUAUAUUAAUAAAUUUUUAUAUUUUAAAUUAUUUUUACAUAUAUUGCAAUGAUUUAUUUAUAAUAAUACUUAAUUAUUAAGCUACAAUAUUAAUCGUUAUAAAUUGAAAAAAACUAAUAUCAAAUAAAUUAUUUGUAAUUGUGUUAAAAAAAGUAUUGAAUAAUUAAAAAAAUAAGUUACUGGAAAAUCGAUAAACAGAAGCAGUUUUCUACCGGAAAUGAAGGAAGGAAUGAAAGAGGCGAUAGAGAGGAGAGCACAGAAAAUGUCUUACGGAAAUUGAAAGGGUAAGACAUUUUCCCUAAAAUGUAACCCAUUUUCCCUUGUUUUGGAGUUCAUUUUCCAAAUGGAAAAUGUUUUCCGCCAAUCAAACGCUGGAAAAGUUGGAAAUGAUUUUCCGGAAAAUCAAUUCCGUCAAUCAAACAGACCCU
Molecule: long non-coding RNA, 4864 nt
Filed under: Gossypium raimondii (Peruvian cotton)
Lineage: Eukaryota; Viridiplantae; Streptophyta; Magnoliopsida; Malvales; Malvaceae
Description: long non-coding RNA (GRAI_LNC008875)
Source: RNAcentral